This is an RNA transcript of Fragaria vesca subsp. vesca, 1126 nucleotides long. RefSeq lists it as uncharacterized. Lineage: Eukaryota; Viridiplantae; Streptophyta; Magnoliopsida; Rosales; Rosaceae. The transcript is spliced from 2 exons. The record is from RefSeq and is a predicted model, not a curated record.
AGGAAAGGAAACUGAACAAAGACAGACAACUGGAGACGAAGAAGAAAAGCAGCAAACUGGAGCGAAACUAUGAAACUGAGCUCCCCAAAAUGGAGACCUCGGCUGCGCUAUGGGAACCCAAAACCAAGCUGACCCUUUGGCUCAAGAUUCAAGGAGAAUUGGAACCAGACAAACAAAAACGUGCAGAACCAUCAAUGAGAGAGAGACCCAUGGCAGUCUAAGCAGCAGCAUCAAUAUUGAUGAUGGAUUGUGGUGGGAUUUGUAUAUCCUGAUAUGGGAGAUAUGGUAAGGUACUGAACAAGCUUUUAUUUCUUUGCCUCUUUCAUAUAAGCAUCACCUGCACUCUUUGAAAGCUGACUCACCCUUAACUCCUCUGCUCCAUUUCUUUAAGAUUCAUAUCAAAUCCCUGCCACUGCAAUUUAUGUUAGUCAUUACAACUGGACACCAACCCUUUCACAAUGACAUUCAGUAGUAAAUAGACCACUUCAAAAGCAGAGUAGUGUUCCACAAAGUCUAUUUCAUUCAGGCUCUUCUGUGGUCAGAAAGCAUAAGAAGAAAAAGAGAGCAAUUGGUCCUCCAUUUGAGAAGAGCGAGAGAAAGCAACAGGGACCUUGAUGGCUACCAGAGGAAAGCUACCCUCUUUUUUCAAAAUUGUUCCGAGUGAUCGGUUCACUAACAAGUUGGUAAGUCCCAAGCUCCCCAUAUACUUCAUUUUGAAUAUGAAAAAACCCCCUGUGAUUUCUCUAGUAAAGAAACCAUGAAGCAUAGAAGAUAUUAGCUUUGUUUUUAUUUCAAUGUGGGUCUAGCUUCUCUGGCUCAGAUUAGAGCUUUGAGUAGAAUAUGAGAUUUGAAUCUGGAGUGUUGGAUGCUCAAAUUCAAGUAGUCUUUAUCUGAACCCAAGGGAAGCAAAAGAUAUAUAGUUAUAUACGAAGCCCUGCUUUUAGUGGCUUUUGUAGUUUCUUCUUUUCAUUCUUUUGGCAAAAUGUGGGUUUUGUAGUCUACCUGAGUCAACUGUGAGCUUAGUCAUUUUGAUAAACAAUCUUCAAUACGAAAAAUCAUAGACUCUUUGCUCUUAGCCUUUAUUACUGUGUGUUUGAGUUCACAUAAUAAUGUUUUGAAAUUCCUG